GAUGAACGCUGGCGGCGUGCCUAAUACAUGCAAGUCGAGCGAACAGAUGAGGAGCUUGCUCCUCUGACGUUAGCGGCGGACGGGUGAGUAACAUGUGGAUAACCUACCUAUAAGACUGGGAUAACUUCGGGAAACCGGAGCUAAUACCGGAUAAUAUAUUGAACCGAAUGGUUCAAUAGUGAAAGACGGUUUUGCUGUCACUUAUAGAUGGAUCCGCGCCGCAUUAGCUAGUUGGUAAGGUAACGGCUUACCAAGGCGACUAUGCGUAGGCGACCUGAGGGGGUGGUCGGCCAGACGGGAAGAGAGGAAGAGUCGAGACUCCGACAGGGAGCCGCAGUAGAGAAUCUUCCGGGAUGGACGAGAGGGUAACGGUACAAAACCGCGUGAACGAUGAAGGUCUUAGGAUCGGAGAACUCUGUAAGUAGGGGAGAACUAAAGCGUAAGUAGCUAUGCACAUAUUGACGGUACCUGAACAAGAAGCCACGGCUAACUACGUG
RNAcentral lists this ribosomal RNA (497 nucleotides) under uncultured bacterium. RNAcentral's name for it is "partial 16S ribosomal RNA". It matches the Rfam family "Bacterial small subunit ribosomal RNA", at positions 28 to 507 of the family's 1533-position model. The record is from RNAcentral.